GCGCGAAAACUUUACAAUGCUGGCAGCAGCGAUAAGGGAACCUCGAGUGCCAGGUUACAAAUCUGGCUGUCGAGAUGCCUAAAAAGCAUUUCAUAGCAAGGGCCGGGCAAGACCGGUGCCAGCCGCCGCGGUAACACCGGCGGCUCGAGUGGUAACCGUUAUUAUUGGGUCUAAAGGGUCUGUAGCCGGCCGGAUAAGUCUCUUGAGAAAUCUGGCAGCUUAACUGUCAGGCUUUCAGGAGAUACUGUCUGGCUCGAGGCCGGGAGAGGUGAGAAGUACUUCAGGGGUAGGGGUGAAAUCUUGUAAUCCUUGAAGGACCACCAGUGGCGAAGGCGUCUCACCAGAACGGACCUGACGGCAAGGGACGAAAGCUAGGGGCACGAACC
Molecule: ribosomal RNA, 386 nt
Filed under: uncultured prokaryote
Description: bacterial SSU rRNA
Rfam family: Archaeal small subunit ribosomal RNA
Source: RNAcentral